This 481-nucleotide ribosomal RNA is filed under the name uncultured bacterium. RNAcentral's name for it is "partial 16S ribosomal RNA". It matches the Rfam family "Bacterial small subunit ribosomal RNA", at positions 28 to 523 of the family's 1533-position model. The record is from RNAcentral.
GACGAACGCUGGCGGCGUGCUUAACACAUGCAAGUCGAGCGGAAAGGCCACUUCGGUGGUACUCGAGCGGCGAACGGGUGAGUAACACGUGAGUAAUCUGCCCCUGGCUUUGGGAUAGCCACCGGAAACGGUGAUUAAUACCGGAUACGACCACUUCUCGCAUGGGAUGGUGGUGGAAAGUUUUUUCGGCCAGGGAUGUGCUCGCGGACUAUCAGCUUGAUGGUGAGGUAAUGGCUCACCAUGGCUUCGGCGGGUAGCCGGCCUGAGAGGGUGACCGGUCACACUGGGACUGAGACACGGCCCAGACUCCUACGGGAGGCAGCAGUGGGGAAUAUUGGACAAUGGGCGGAAGCCUGAUCCAGCAACGCCGCGUGAGGGAUGACGGCCUUCGGGUUGUAAACCUCUUUCAGCAGGGACGAAGCGCAAGUGACGGUACCUGCAGAAGAAGCACCGGCCAACUACGUGCCAGCCGCCGCGGUAA